CCUACGGGAGCAGCAGUGGGGAAUAUUGGACAAUGGGCGCAAGCCUGAUCCAGCCAUACCGCGUGGGUGAAGAAGGCCUUCGGGUUGUAAAGCCCUUUUGUUGGGAAAGAAAUCCAGCCGGCUAAUACCCGGUUGGGAUGACGGUACCCAAAGAAUAAGCACCGGCUAACUUCGUGCCAGCAGCCGCGGUAAUACGAAGGGUGCAAGCGUUACUCGGAAUUACUGGGCGUAAAGCGUGCGUAGGUGGUCGUUUAAGUCCGUUGUGAAAGCCCUGGGCUCAACCUGGGAACUGCAGUGGAUACUGGGCGACUAGAGUGUGGUAGAGGGUAGCGGAAUUCCUGGUGUAGCAGUGAAAUGCGUAGAGAUCAGGAGGAACAUCCAUGGCGAAGGCAGCUACCUGGACCAACACUGACACUGAGGCACGAAAGCGUGGGGAGCAAACAGGAUUAGAUACCCUGGUAGUCCACGCCCUAAACGAUGCGAACUGGAUGCUGGGUGCAAUUUGGCACGCAGUAAAGAAAAUGAAGCG
Molecule: ribosomal RNA, 529 nt
Filed under: uncultured Stenotrophomonas sp.
Lineage: Bacteria; Pseudomonadati; Pseudomonadota; Gammaproteobacteria; Lysobacterales; Lysobacteraceae
Description: bacterial SSU rRNA
Rfam family: Bacterial small subunit ribosomal RNA
Source: RNAcentral